This 253-nucleotide ribosomal RNA is filed under the name uncultured prokaryote. Its description in RNAcentral is "partial 16S ribosomal RNA". It matches the Rfam family "Bacterial small subunit ribosomal RNA", at positions 524 to 776 of the family's 1533-position model. The record is from RNAcentral.
GACGGAGGGUGCAAGCGUUGCUCGGAAUCAUUGGGCGUAAAGGGUGCGUAGGCGGCUUUUUAAGUCUGACGUGAAAGCCCAGGGCUUAGCCUUGGAAGUGCGCCAGAAACUGGAAGGCUAGAGUGCCGGAGGGGAGAGUGGAAUUCCUGGUGUAGCGGUGAAAUGCGUAGAUAUCUGGAGGAACGCCGGCGGCGAAAGCGACUCUCUGGUCUGUAACUGACGCUGAGGUGCGAAAGCUAGGGGAGCAAACGGG